RNAcentral lists this transfer RNA (74 nucleotides) under Moraxella bovis. RNAcentral's name for it is "tRNA-Ile(gat)". It matches the Rfam family "tRNA". From Rfam's summary of the family: Transfer RNA (tRNA) molecules are approximately 80 nucleotides in length. Their secondary structure includes four short double-helical elements and three loops (D, anti-codon, and T loops). The record is from RNAcentral. Lineage: Bacteria; Pseudomonadati; Pseudomonadota; Gammaproteobacteria; Moraxellales; Moraxellaceae.
AGUUCCGUAGUUCAAUGGUAGAACACCACCCUGAUAAGGUGGCAAUAUAGGUUCAAUUCCUGUCGGAACUACCA